GAUGAACGCUAGCUACGGGCUUAACACAUGCAAGUCGCGGGGCAGCAUGGGGGUUGCUUGCAAUCCCCGAUGGCGACCGGCGCACGGGUGAGUAACGCGUAUUCAACCUGCCCUUCACCACGGGAUAACCCGGCGAAAGUCGGACUAAUACCGUAUGUUGUCCAUUGACGGCAUCCGAUUUGGAAGAAAGGCUGGGCGGUGAGGGAUGGGGAUGCGUCCGAUUAGCCAGACGGCGGGGUAACGGCCCACCGUGGCUACGAUCGGUAGGGGUUCUGAGAGGAAGGUCCCCCACACUGGAACUGAGACACGGUCCAGACUCCUACGGGAGGCAGCAGUGAGGAAUAUUGGUCAAUGGGCGUAAGUCUGAACCAGCCAAGUAGCGUGCAGGAUGACGGCCCUAUGGGUUGUAAACUGCUUUUAUGCGGGGAUAAAGUGGCCCACGUGUGGGCUUUUGCAGGUACCGCAUGAAUAAGGACCGGCUAAUUCCGUG
RNAcentral lists this ribosomal RNA (490 nucleotides) under uncultured bacterium. Its description in RNAcentral is "partial 16S ribosomal RNA". It matches the Rfam family "Bacterial small subunit ribosomal RNA", at positions 28 to 507 of the family's 1533-position model. The record is from RNAcentral.